RNAcentral lists this ribosomal RNA (135 nucleotides) under Triticum aestivum (bread wheat). RNAcentral's name for it is "partial small subunit ribosomal RNA". The record is from RNAcentral. Lineage: Eukaryota; Viridiplantae; Streptophyta; Magnoliopsida; Poales; Poaceae.
CUUUACCAAUUCAAAAGAUCAUUUGGUGUAGUUGAAAUAACAGAAUUGGAACUUGUUUGGUCAAGUAAGGGAAACUCAAUCAAAUUCAUAACUGUCUCAAUAGAAUCUUUUCCUUCUUUUUUUUGUCGUAAAUAG